GACGAACGCUGGCGGCGUGCUUAACACAUGCAAGUCGAACGGGAUUUAGUAGACAGAAGCCUCGGCUAAAGAUUACUAAUGAGAGUGGCGAACGGGUGAGUAACGCGUGAGCAACCUGCCUAUGACAGUGGGAUAGCCUCGGGAAACCGGGAUUAAUACCGCAUCAAAUCGUAGAAACACAUGUUUUAACGGUCAAAGAUUUAUCGGUCAUAGAUGGGCUCGCGUCUGAUUAGCUAGUUGGUGAGAUAACAGCCCACCAAGGCGACGAUCAGUAGCCGGUCUGAGAGGAUGAACGGCCACAUUGGAACUGAGACACGGUCCAAACUCCUACGGGAGGCAGCAGUGGGGAAUAUUGCACAAUGGGGGAAACCCUGAUGCAGCGACGCCGCGUGAACGAAGAAGGUAUUCGUAUCGUAAAGUUCUGUCCUAUGGGAAGAUAAUGACAGUACCAUAGAAGAAAGCUCCGGCUAAAUACGUG
Molecule: ribosomal RNA, 478 nt
Filed under: uncultured bacterium
Lineage: Bacteria
Description: partial 16S ribosomal RNA
Rfam family: Bacterial small subunit ribosomal RNA
Source: RNAcentral